This 1325-nucleotide ribosomal RNA is filed under the name uncultured prokaryote. Its description in RNAcentral is "bacterial SSU rRNA". It matches the Rfam family "Bacterial small subunit ribosomal RNA", at positions 28 to 1377 of the family's 1533-position model. The record is from RNAcentral.
GAUGAACGCUGGCGGCGUGCUUAAUACAUGAUCAGCGAACGAGGUGCUUUUGUAGCAAUACGGAAGUAUCCUAGUGGCGAACGGGUGAGUAACGCGUUGGUGACCGGCCCCAAAGUGUGGAAUAUCAGAUCGUAAGGUUUGCUAUUACUGCAUGUGGUUGUCGGAUUUAGAAACCGGUGACUAAAGCAGUAAUGCGCUUUGGGAGGGACCUGCGUCCAUCAGCUAGUUGGUGAGGUAACGGCUCACCAAGGCGUCGACGGGUAAGGGACCUGAGAGGGUGGUCCCUCACAAUGGCACUGAAACACGGGCCAUACACCUACGGGUGGCAGCAGUAGGGAAUAUUGGGCAAUGGGCGAAAGCCUGACCCAGCAACGCCGCGUGUACGAUGAAGGCCUUCGGGUCGUAAAGUACUUUUCUGGGAGAUGAGAAAGGACAGUAUCCCAGGAAUAAGCUUCGGCUAACUACGUGCCAGCAGCCGCGGUAAAACGUAGGAAGCGAGCGUUAUCCGGAUUUACUGGGCGUAAAGCGCGUGUAGGCGGUUUGAUAAGUUGGAUGUGAAAUCUCCUGGCUCAACUGGGAGGGGUCGUUCAAAACUAUCAGACUUGAGGACAGUAGAGGAAGGUGGAAUUCCCGGUGUAGUGGUGAAAUGCGUAGAUAUCGGGAGGAACACCAGUGGCGAAAGCGGCCUUCUGGACUGUAUCUGACGCUCAGACGCGAAAGCUAGGGGAGCGAACGGGAUUAGAAACCCCGGUAGUCCUAGCUGUAAACGAUGUAGACUUGGCGUCGGUGGGGUAAAAGCCAUCGGUGCCGAAGCUAACGCGAUAAGUCUACCGCCUGGGGACUACGGCCGCAAGGUUAAAACUCAAAGGAAUUGACGGGGGCCCGCACAAGCAGCGGAGCGUGUGGUUUAAUUCGAUGCUACGCGAAGAACCUUACCCGGGUUUGACAUACAGGUGGUAGGGAACCGAAAGGUGACCGACCCUUCGGGGAGCCUGCACAGGUGCUGCAUGGCUGUCGUCAGCUCGUGUCGUGAGAUGUCCGGUUAAGUCCGGUAACGAGCGCAACCCUCGCCGUAUGUUACAAGUGUCAUACGGGACUGCCGGUAUCAAGCCGGAGGAAGGUGGGGAUGACGUCAAGUCAGCAUGGCCUUUAUAUCUGGGGCUACACACACGCUACAAUGGCCGGUACAAUGGGUUGCUAAGCCGCGAGGUAGAGCCAAUCCCCAAAGCCGGCCUCAGUUCAGAUCACAGGCUGAAACCCGCCUGUGUGAAGUCGGAGUUGCUAGUAAACGCGCGUCAGCUAUAGUGCGUUGAAUACGUUCUCGG